CAAUAGCGUAUAUUAAAGUUGUUGCAGUUAAAAAGCUCGUAGUUGGAUUUCGGGGCAGCCUGGCUGGUCCGCCGCAAGGCGAGUACUGGUCAGCCGCCCUUCCUCUCGAAAGCCACGACUGCUCUUCGUUGCAGUGGUCGGGUAGUUCGGGACGUUUACUUUGAAAAAAUUAGAGUGUUCAAGGCAGGCCUACGCCUGAAUACAUUAGCAUGGAAUAAUGGAAGAGGACCUCGGUCCUAUUUUGUUGGUUUCCAGGGCCGAAGUAAUGAUUAAGAGGGACAGUUGGGGGCAUUCGUAUUUAAUUGUCAGAGGUGAAAUUCUCGGAUUUAUGAAAGACGAACAACUGCGAAAGCAUUUGCCAAGGAUGUUUUCAUUAA
Molecule: ribosomal RNA, 377 nt
Filed under: uncultured eukaryote
Lineage: Eukaryota
Description: partial 18S ribosomal RNA
Rfam family: Eukaryotic small subunit ribosomal RNA
Source: RNAcentral